Molecule: ribosomal RNA, 1443 nt
Filed under: human gut metagenome
Description: bacterial LSU rRNA
Rfam family: Bacterial large subunit ribosomal RNA
Source: RNAcentral
GAGUGACCCUGCGCCGAAAAUGUACCGGGGCUAAACAUAUUACCGAAGCUGUGGAUUGUCCUUUGGACAAUGGUAGGAGAGCGUUCUAAGGGCGUCGAAGCAUGAUCGCAAGGACAUGUGGAGCGCUUAGAAGUGAGAAUGCCGGUGUGAGUAGCGAAAGACGGGUGAGAAUCCCGUCCACCGAUUGACUAAGGUUUCCAGAGGAAGGCUCGUCCGCUCUGGGUUAGUCGGGUCCUAAGCUGAGGCCGACAGGCGUAGGCGAUGGAUAACAGGUUGAUAUUCCUGUACCACCUAGUAUCGUUUUAAUCGAUGGGGGGACGCAGUAGGAUAGGCGAAGCGUGCUGUUGGAGUGCACGUCCAAGCAGUAAGGCUGAGUGUUAGGCAAAUCCGGCACUCAUAAGGCUGAGCUGUGAUGGGGAGAGGAAAUUGUUUCCUCGAGUCGUUGAUUUCACACUGCCGAGAAAAGCCUCUAGAUAGAUAACAGGUGCCCGUACCGCAAACCGACACAGGUAGUCAAGAUGAGAAUUCUAAGGUGAGCGAGCGAACUCUCGUUAAGGAACUCGGCAAAAUGACCCCGUAACUUCGGGAGAAGGGGUGCUCUUUAGGGUUCACGCCCAGAAGAGCCGCAGUGAAUAGGCCCAAGCGACUGUUUAUCAAAAACACAGGUCUCUGCUAAACCGUAAGGUGAUGUAUAGGGGCUGACGCCUGCCCGGUGCUGGAAGGUUAAGAGGAGUGGUUAGCUUCUGCGAAGCUACGAAUCGAAGCCCCAGUAAACGGCGGCCGUAACUAUAACGGUCCUAAGGUAGCGAAAUUCCUUGUCGGGUAAGUUCCGACCCGCACGAAAGGCGUAACGAUUUGGGCACUGUCUCAACGAGAGACUCGGUGAAAUCAUAGUACCUGUGAAGAUGCAGGUUACCCGCGACAGGACGGAAAGACCCCGUGGAGCUUUACUGUAGCCUGAUAUUGAAAUUCGGCACAGCUUGUACAGGAUAGGUAGGAGCCUUUGAAACGUGAGCGCUAGCUUACGUGGAGGCGUUGGUGGGAUACUACCCUAGCUGUGUUGGCUUUCUAACCCGCACCACUUAUCGUGGUGGGAGACAGUGUCAGGCGGGCAGUUUGACUGGGGCGGUCGCCUCCUAAAAGGUAACGGAGGCGCUCAAAGGUUCCCUCAGAAUGGUUGGAAAUCAUUCAUAGAGUGUAAAGGCAUAAGGGAGCUUGACUGCGAGACCUACAAGUCGAGCAGGGUCGAAAGACGGACUUAGUGAUCCGGUGGUUCCGCAUGGAAGGGCCAUCGCUCAACGGAUAAAAGCUACCCCGGGGAUAACAGGCUUAUCUCCCCCAAGAGUCCACAUCGACGGGGAGGUUUGGCACCUCGAUGUCGGCUCGUCGCAUCCUGGGGCUGUAGUCGGUCCCAAGGGUUGGGCUGUUCGCCCAUUAAAGCGG